RNAcentral lists this transfer RNA (65 nucleotides) under Selenops bursarius. Its description in RNAcentral is "tRNA-Ile". Lineage: Eukaryota; Metazoa; Arthropoda; Arachnida; Araneae; Selenopidae. The record is from RNAcentral.
AUUAUUUAGGUGCCUGAUUAAAGGGUUAAUUUGAUAGAUUAAAUAAUGGUUUAUUUUUAUUUCUG